This 479-nucleotide ribosomal RNA is filed under the name uncultured bacterium. RNAcentral describes it as "partial 16S ribosomal RNA". It matches the Rfam family "Bacterial small subunit ribosomal RNA", at positions 28 to 507 of the family's 1533-position model. The record is from RNAcentral.
GAUGAACGCUGGCGGCGUGCUUAACACAUGCAAGUCGAACGAAGCACCUUGAUUUGAUUCUUCGGAUGAAGAUCUUGGUGACUGAGUGGCGGACGGGUGAGUAACGCGUGGGUAACCUGCCCCAUACAGGGGGAUAACAGUUAGAAAUGACUGCUAAUACCGCAUAAGACCACAGCACCGCAUGGUGCAGGGGUAAAAACUCCGGUGGUAUGAGAUGGACCCGCGUCUGAUUAGGUAGUUGGUGGGGUAACGGCCUACCAAGCCGACGAUCAGUAGCCGACCUGAGAGGGUGACCGGCCACAUUGGGACUGAGACACGGCCCAAACUCCUACGGGAGGCAGCAGUGGGGAAUAUUGCACAAUGGGGGAAACCCUGAUGCAGCGACGCCGCGUGAGCGAUGAAGUAUUUCGGUAUGUAAAGCUCUAUCAGCAGGGAAGAAAAUGACGGUACCUGACUAAGAAGCACCGGCUAAAUACGUG